GACAGAGGAUGCAAGCGUUAUCCGGAAUGAUUGGGCGUAAAGCGUCCGCAGGUGGCAAUGUAAGUCUGCUGUUAAAGAGUCUAGCUCAACUAGAUAAAAGCAGUGGAAACUACAUAGCUAGAGUACGUUCGGGGCAGAGGGAAUUCCUGGUGUAGCGGUGAAAUGCGUAGAGAUCAGGAAGAACACCAGUGGCGAAGGCGCUCUGCUAGGCCGUAACUGACACUGAGGGACGAAAGCUAGGGGAGCGAAUGGG
This 253-nucleotide ribosomal RNA is filed under the name uncultured bacterium. RNAcentral describes it as "partial 16S ribosomal RNA". It matches the Rfam family "Bacterial small subunit ribosomal RNA", at positions 524 to 776 of the family's 1533-position model. The record is from RNAcentral.